AUUGAACGCUGGCGGCAGGCCUAACACAUGCAAGUCGAGCGAGCGGCGGACGGGUGAGUAAUGUAUGGGGACUGCCCGAUAGAGGGGGAUAACUACUGGAAACGGUAGCUAAUACCGCAUACCAUAGGAUAACCCAAAUGGGAUUAGGUAGUUGGUGAGGUAAUGGCUCACCAAGGCGACGAUCCCUAGCUGGUCUGAGAGGAUGAUCAGCCACACUGGGACUGAGACACGGCCCAGACUCCUACGGAGGCAGCAGUGGGGAAUAUUGCGCAAUGGGCGCAAGCCUGAGGCAGCCAUGCCGCGUGUAUGAAGAAGGCCCUAGGGUUGUAAAGUACUUUCAGUCGGGAGGCGUUACCUACAGAAGAAGCACCGGCUAACUCCGUGCCAGCCGCCGCGGUAAUUC
RNAcentral lists this ribosomal RNA (403 nucleotides) under uncultured bacterium. RNAcentral's name for it is "partial 16S ribosomal RNA". It matches the Rfam family "Bacterial small subunit ribosomal RNA", at positions 30 to 526 of the family's 1533-position model. The record is from RNAcentral.